AGUGAACGCUGGCGGUAGGCCUAACACAUGCAAGUCGAACGGCAGCACAGUAAGAGCUUGCUCUUACGGGUGGCGAGUGGCGGACGGGUGAGGAAUACAUCGGAAUCUACUUUUUCGUGGGGGAUAACGUAGGGAAACUUACGCUAAUACCGCAUACGACCUACGGGUGAAAGCAGGGGAUCUUCGGACCUUGCGCGAUUGAAUGAGCCGAUGUCGGAUUAGCUAGUUGGCGGGGUAAAGGCCCACCAAGGCGACGAUCCGUAGCUGGUCUGAGAGGAUGAUCAGCCACACUGGAACUGAGACACGGUCCAGACUCCUACGGGAGGCAGCAGUGGGGAAUAUUGGACAAUGGGCGCAAGCCUGAUCCAGCCAUACCGCGUGAGUGAAGAAGGCCUUCGGGUUGUAAAGCCCUUUUGUUGGGAAAGAAAAGCAGCAGGUUAAUACCCCGCUGUUCUGACGGUACCCAAAGAAUAAGCACGGGCUAACUUCGUG
Molecule: ribosomal RNA, 492 nt
Filed under: uncultured bacterium
Lineage: Bacteria
Description: partial 16S ribosomal RNA
Rfam family: Bacterial small subunit ribosomal RNA
Source: RNAcentral